Molecule: ribosomal RNA, 937 nt
Filed under: uncultured bacterium
Lineage: Bacteria
Description: bacterial SSU rRNA
Rfam family: Bacterial small subunit ribosomal RNA
Source: RNAcentral
AGAGUUUGAUCCUGGCUCAGAAUGAACGCUGGCGGCGUGCCUAACACAUGCAAGUCGCACGAGAACGUUUCAGCUUGCUGAAACUAGUAAAGUGGCGCACGGGUGAGUAACGCGUGGGUAAUCUACCUCCGAAUUGGGGAUAACAUUGCGAAAGCGACGCUAAUACCGGAUAAUAUCUCAAGAACCUCGGUUCUUGAGAUCAAAGGUGGCCUCUACAUGGAAGCUACCGUUUGGAGAUGAGCCCGCGUACCAUUAGCUUGUUGGUAGGGUAAUGGCCUACCAAGGCGACGAUGGUUAGCUGGUCUGAGAGGAUGAUCAGCCACACUGGAACUGAAACACGGUCCAGACUCCUACGGGAGGCAGCAGUGAGGAAUUUUGCGCAAUGGGGGAAACCCUGACGCAGCAACGCCGCGUGAGUGAUGAAGGCCUUCGGGUCGUAAAGCUCUGUCAAGUGGGAAGAACCUGCCCUGUGCUAAUAUCACCGGGCAUUGACGGUACCACUGAAGGAAGCACCGGCUAACUCCGUGCCAGCAGCCGCGGUAACACGGAGGGUGCAAGCGUUAUUCGGAAUCACUGGGCGUAAAGAGCGCGUAGGCGGUUUCUUAAGUCAGAUGUGAAAGCCCGGGGCUUAACCCCGGAAGUGCAUUUGAAACUAAGGGACUUGAGUAUGGGAGAGGGAAGUGGAAUUCCUGGUGUAGCGGUGAAAUGCGUAGAUAUCAGGAGGAACACCGGUGGCGAUGGCGACUUCCUGGACCAAUACUGACGCUGAGGCGCGAAGGCGUGGGGAGCAAACAGGAUUAGAUACCCUGGUAGUCCACGCAGUAAACGUUGAACACUAGGUGUAGCGGGUAUUGACCCCUGCUGUGCCGCAGCUAACGCAUUAAGUGUUCCGCCUGGGGAGUACGGCCGCAAGGCUAAAACUUAAAGGAAUUGACGG